GCUUCUUUCUUUGCGAACAAUUCUUGGUUGCUUUAAGCUUGACUUAAGAGUAAGAACAAUUAAAUAGAAAUGUUGGUAAACCAAUUUGAUUAAAAACACACUUAAAUUUCAAAAAGUACUCAUGCAAUUAUAAAAAUACUAAAGAAAAAUUAAAGUGCUAAGAUAAAGUCAUGGUGAACUAGAGCCACCCAAAAGUACAUUACAAAAUUCCCAAAAACAAAAAAACAGAAUUAGUAAAAAG
This 241-nucleotide long non-coding RNA is filed under the name Lathyrus oleraceus (garden pea). RNAcentral's name for it is "Pisum sativum (pea) long non-coding RNA (PSAT_LNC025840)". Lineage: Eukaryota; Viridiplantae; Streptophyta; Magnoliopsida; Fabales; Fabaceae. The record is from RNAcentral.